CCUAUGACUAGGAAGGGUAAAGGGGUGAUGACAAUACCAACACCGGUUAAGCUCAAAGAAACAAUCAGAAAGUACAUCCCUACUUAUGAAGGUUCUGAUUCAGAUGGUUCUGUGGGUAGCGCUCCAGGUGAAAGACAAGAAACUACUAAGGGGAACGUCGACUACAUGGCCAUGCAUUAGCGGC
This is a long non-coding RNA of Helianthus annuus (common sunflower), 184 nucleotides long. RefSeq lists it as uncharacterized. The record is from RefSeq and is a predicted model, not a curated record. The transcript has 3 exons. NCBI's taxonomy places the organism in Eukaryota, Viridiplantae, Streptophyta, Magnoliopsida, Asterales, Asteraceae.